This 468-nucleotide ribosomal RNA is filed under the name uncultured bacterium. Its description in RNAcentral is "partial 16S ribosomal RNA". It matches the Rfam family "Bacterial small subunit ribosomal RNA", at positions 28 to 507 of the family's 1533-position model. The record is from RNAcentral.
GACGAACGCUGGCGGCGUGCUUAACACAUGCAAGUCGAACGGAAAGGCCCUGCUUUUGUGGGGUGCUCGAGUGGCGAACGGGUGAGUAACACGUGAGUAACCUGCCCUUGACUUUGGGAUAACUUCAGGAAACUGGGGCUAAUACCGGAUAGGAGCUCCUGCUGCAUGGUGGGGGUUGGAAAGUUUCGGCGGUUGGGGAUGGACUCGCGGCUUAUCCGCUUGUUGGUGGGGUAGUGGCUUACCAAGGCUUUGACGGGUAGCCGGCCUGAGAGGGUGACCGGCCACAUUGGGACUGCGAUACGGCCCAGACUCCUACGGGAGGCAGCAGUGGAGAAUAUUGCACAGUGGGCGGAAGCCUGAUGCAGCAACGCCGCGUGCGGGAUGACGGCCUUCGGGUUGUAAACCGCUUUCGCCUGUGACGAAGCGUGAGUGACGGUAAUGGGUAAAGAAGCACCGGCUAACUACGUG